GACGAACGCUGGCGGCGUGCUUAACACAUGCAAGUCGAACGGAAAGGCCUGCUUUCCCUUGUGGAUUGCGGGUACUCGAGUGGCGAACGGGUGAGUAACACGUGAGUGAUCUGCCCCCAACUUGGGUAUAAGCCUGGGAAACUGGGUCUAAUUCCCGAUAGGACUGCAGGGUGGUGCCUGUGUUGGAAAACGAUUUUCUAGUGGUUGGGGAUGAGCUCGCGGCCUAUCAGCUUGUUGGUGGGGUAAUGGCCUACCAAGGCGGCGACGGGGAGCCGGCCUGAGAUGGUGGACGGCCAGAUUGGGACUGGGAUACGGCCCAGACUCCGACGGGGGGCAGCAGUGGGGAAUAUUGCACAAUGGGCGGAAGCCUGAUGCAGCGACGCCGCGUGGGGGAUGACGGGCUUCGGGUUGUAAACUCCUUUCGACCGCGAGGAAGCAACCUGGUUGGCAGGGUGGUGACGGUAGUGGUAGAAGAAGCACCGGCUAACUACGUG
This 494-nucleotide ribosomal RNA is filed under the name uncultured bacterium. RNAcentral's name for it is "partial 16S ribosomal RNA". It matches the Rfam family "Bacterial small subunit ribosomal RNA", at positions 28 to 507 of the family's 1533-position model. The record is from RNAcentral.